RNAcentral lists this long non-coding RNA (4847 nucleotides) under Homo sapiens (human). RNAcentral's name for it is "HSALNT0374327". Lineage: Eukaryota; Metazoa; Chordata; Mammalia; Primates; Hominidae. The record is from RNAcentral.
AGCCAUGCGAAGAUGUACCUGCUUCUGCUUCAUCUUCUGCCCUGAUUGUAAGUUUCCUGAGGCCUCUCCAGAAGCAGAAAUCUGGAAAGUCUGCAGAACUUUUUCUCAAGAGGGAUUUGCAGAGACAGGAUGCUAUGAAAUUACCUCUCCCAUGCCCUCCACAGUACUAAGACUGAGGUACCUGUCUACAUCAAAAGAUGAGUACUACAAUGCAGAUGACUUAGCCAGGACUGAUAUUCUUAGAAGAAAAAAGAUUAAGACACAGACAGAAGAAAGACCAUGUAAAGGCACAAGGAGAAGACAGCCAUUUACAAGCCAAGAAGAGAGGUCUCUGAAAAACCAACCCUGCUGGCACCUUGCUCUUGGACUUCUGGCCUCCAGAUUUAUGAGGAAGUAAAUUUCUGUUGUUCAAGCAACCUGAAUUGGUUUACUUUCAAAUGGCAGCCCCAACAAACUGAUAGUUGGCUGACUAGGGAUGUUGGAUGCCAGGUCUCCUCAGAAAGAUCAAAGUUACAGGUGAAUGCCCAUGAUUUAAAUGGAAAUCUGAGGGAAUGAAGCAAGGACCUGUUGGAGCACCCAUGGGAAGAACCUGGGGCACAAAAGAGGAAAGCAGCAAGAGACUGACAGAGAUUGUCUCCCUAGAAACCUGGACCACGAAAAGGGUGGAGAGGAGAAAACUCUGUGCUAAAUAUUACUCCUGGAAAAGUGCAUUUGCUUCGGAGAAAUCUUUAUCAUGGGUCUCUAAGAGGAAGGAACAAUAGCAUCUUCUAUGUGCCGAGGUAGCGCAAUAAUGAACUCUGUUCAAGUGGAUCAAAAGCCAUCAAGGUCAAAAUUAGGCACAGGCUGUACAGGAAGCGUGAUUCUGGCAUCUGUUUGGUUUCUGGGAAGGCCUCAGGAAACUUAAAGUCAUGGAAGAAGGGGAAGGGAGAGCAGGCACGUCUUACAUGACCAAAGCAGGAAGAAGAGAGAGAAGUGUGGAGGAUAUGGAUGUUACUUUUUCUCCAAGCAUAGGGAAAGUGCCUCUGAAAUAAAGAUUUUAUGACUUGCUUCAGGAAAGAAGAGCAAGAGGAAGGUGUUGUCGGUGAAAUUGUAUCCCUGAUAAAGGUGUCUGUCUGACAUCCAAGUUGGAGUGGAGUGGCAUGAUCCUAGCACACUCCAGCCUCGAACUCCUGAGCUGAAGCAAUCUUCCAGCCUCAGCCUCCCAAGAAGCUGGGAUUAUAGGCCCAUAGUUGGAAGGGACUUACCUUGUCCCAGAUGAGACUUUGGAUUGUGGACUUUUGAGUUAAUGCUGCAAUGAGUUAAGACUUUGGGGGACUAUUGAGAAGGCAUGAUUGGUUUUGAAAUCUGCAGACAUGAGAUUUGUCAGGAGCCAUGAGCAGAAUGAUAUGGUUUAGCUGUGUCCCCACCCAAAUCUCAUCUUGAAUUGUACUCCCAUAAUCCCCAAGUGUUGUGGGAGGCACCCGAUGGGAGAUAAUUGAAUUAUGGUGGUGGGUCUUUCCUGUGCUGUAAUCAUGAUAGUGAAUGAUUCUCAGGAGUUCUGAUGGUUUAUAAACUGUAGUUUCCCUGCACAAGCUCUCUUCUCUGUCUGCAGCCAUGUGAGACAUGACUUUCACCUUCCACCAUGAUUGUGAAGCCUCCCCAACCACAUGCAACUGCAAGUCCAUUACACCUCUUUCUUUUGUAAAUUGCCCAGUCUCAGGUAUGUCUUUAUCAGCAGCAUGAAAAUGGUCUAAUACAGGGUUGAACUCUGAGAUUUUAGUCUCUUUUAAUUUGUGAGUGGGAAAGAACUUCAUUGACAGCCUUUAAGAAGUAGACUUAAAUUAUAGGAGGAUACAAAUAGCUUUGCCUUCUCAUAAAAUGAAAUACACACACAAACACACAGACAAAAUUUUUCUAUAUCAAUAGAAACAAAAAACAAAGUCUUUCAAUAAAGUUUAAUGAAUAAAUAGGAGAUUAAGAUCUUUAGUUAAUGUAUAGCUAUCGCAAGUCAAUUUCAAAAAAAAAAGCUAAGUCUCUAUUUUGUAUAGAAGAACUCUUCCAAUUACAUUAGCACUAGCUUAAAAGAUUCCAAACUAGAGCAUUUAUUUUACCACAACUGGUUCUUACCAGACAUAACAGAUAAAGAACCAUGAAUUCUUGUGACCUCAGUGUGCCAAACUCUUUCUGGACCUAACCGUAGACACAAUCUUGACCAAUCAACAAUGGUACUUGUUUUAACCAGGUGGAUACAGGCCUAUGGACUCAUUCUUAUGUGGUUAGAAUAUUUUCUUUUUAUUCUUAAUGAGUCACUUCCUUUCUUUUUAGCAUAUACAAGCCCUUUAACAUUUUUCCUAGCAAUCUGGUCAGUGGAUUUCUUCACUGUUACAUGUCCCCUUGUCUGGCAAGAGGAAAGUGUUUUUAUCUUUAUAUUGCAAUCUAAAUGAGCAAAAACCAGUAUAUGUUUCAAGAAAACGUUAAAUACCAAUGACAUACAAAUUUAGCUAAACUACACAUUUACUGAUAAUGAAGUAAAUAAAAACAAAAUAAGAAUAAUUUUAUAUUCGCUCAAGAAUUUGUUAUUAUAUGGGGGAUGAGAGUAUAUGGAAGUGAAUAAAAAUAUAGAGUAACUGUCUUUAAGUAUUUGAUUGUAUUUUUAAACACUGAAAAACAAUACAAAUCUAAAGUAUGGUAAAAUAGGUGCUAUCACAUACAACUUCAUAUAUACAUUGAUGCAACAAUUUUGAAAAGUAGUUUGGUAGGAUACAACAAUAGCUAUAACAUGUGCAUAUUCAACAAUUUUACCACUUGAGCCUCCAUCUUGAGAAACUUUAUAUUAAAAAUUAUUUGCAAAAUUUUUGUAUGCUUACUUAUAAUGAAGAAUUAGAAAUAAUCAAAAGAUACAGUGAAGGAACUGCAAAAUAGAUUAUGCCAAAUCUGUGUAAACUACAUUAUGAAAUACCAAAAAAGAUGCUUAUGUAAUAUCUACCAAAAUAUAAUAAAUGACUCAAAAUAAAUGAUACUUAUAAGAAAACAAAAUUAAAAAUUGUAUAGUAAUAUAACCUUAUUUGUGUAAAAUAUGCUGAGAAAAAGUGGAUGUUAAUAAAUAACAAUAUUUAAAAUUAUUUGUCUUUAGGUGAUCCUUUUCUUUAUAUUUUUCUAUAUCACACAUUUUCCAAAAUAAGAACAUUUUCCUUUCUAAAAUUUUUUUCAACUUUGCUGUUUCUAUGUCAUUUUGUUUUGACACUGAAAUGUUAGGUUAUCAGGAAUUAGAAAGACUUUGAAGUAAUUUAUUUUACUUUUUUUUCUUUUUAGAAAUUCUGUGGCGUAACAAGUUGCUGUCACACUGGCUUUUUAAAAUAUAUGUAUAUAUUUGAAAUACACAUGCACACAACUAAGUUAGAUUCGUCCACCGUUACUAAUAGAAAACUACAAUGUAGUGGCUUAAAAGGAGAAGGAAUUCUGUUUCUCAUGGUUCAGUGUGAAUGAGUGCAGUAUUCAAAAACAUGAAGUCAGAGUCCAGUACUCAAGUUCUGUAUCACUGAACAUCCUGUGGAAGGCCACCAGUCAAAGAGCAGCAAGAGCACACCUAAAUUAGGAUUAUUAGCUUGCUUCAGCUAAGGAGAAAGUUCUUCAUGAGAGCCAUCUAACCUCUUGGAAUCAGUUCAAUAAGUGGUUAUCUCGGGAAGUUUUAUUAAGAGUCAGAAGAAAUGAAGCUAGGCUGGGCAUGUCUUUGCUCAGAAGAAAAAAUUGUUACCAUCUUGCAUUAGCUUUGUGGUCUUUUUGAAUAAUAAUUAUAUUACCAAAACUAGAGAGAAAAAGUAAAAGAUCUAUAGCAUUGCUAACAUCUACUGUAUGUAAUUUGUUAUAUUUUUUAUUAUGUAUAAUAAAUGCUAUUCAGGCUCUUCUCAAUAUUACAUGCUUACAUUUCAGCUAAGAAAAUGGUAAAUUGUAUUCCAUAGACAUAUAACUUGUAGAAAAAUCAUUAAUUUAAAAAGAGCCAUAGCCAGGCACUGUGGCUUAUACCUAUAAUCCUAGCUAUUCACGCUGUCUAGAUGGGAGCAUCCCUUGAGUCCAGUAGUUCCAGGCUGCAGUGAGCUAUGAUCCUGCCACUACACUGCAGCCUGGGAAACAGAGGGAGUUCCCCAUCUCUUGAAAAAAAAAGCGGCAUCCAUAUUCUAAGUAUAAAUUAUUAUUAUUUGUCUAGGUUUUGCCAAUGCACUUUAUUAUAUAAUAUUAAGUAUUGAUUAAACUUACAUAUGGUAUACAAUUAGCUAUUUCUUUCCUAAAUGUAAGAAAUCUUCUUAUGUUUUUAUGUUUUUAAGAAGAGGAAAACUAACCUGAAUCUUAAACACAUUUCAUGUAUGAUACACUUCCUAUAUUACUCUUAUAAGACAAAGACAAUAUCAAAUAAAGAAAAUCUUGACAAUUAUGUAGUCAUAAGCUUUUAAACAAGAACCAAAUAGAUACUAGAUGAAUUUUCUCCUUUGGAUAUAAAAAAAAAUACUGAAGAUGUAGUCAUUUCGGGCAGCUGCAUUCCAUAUUUAGGGAAAGUUAUACAGUUUUUUUUUCAAAAAAAUAUUAAAUAUUAUUAAGAUAUUGAAAGAAAAUGAGAUAUGUUAUGCAUGUUCCUAGUAUAUCCCACACUAAUAAACACAUUUUUACAAAACUUUAUAAUAUAAUAGAUAUGUAAUGAUGUAUUUAUAUAAUGUGAUUGUUUUCUAAAAGCAGUAAAACAACAAAAUAUUCAAAGUCUAUUUAUAUAUAUUAAUAUUAUGUUUUGUAAAUUUUUUCUUCUAAUUGAACUUUUAAAACAGUUUUAAAGUACUGUCAGAAACUUAUGGUGAUGACUUUGAAAAAUAAAGGAUAAU